UUUCUGUUUUACUUGAUAAAUUAGGAUUUGAUUUACAGUUCAUCAACAUAAAGUGACAGUAUUUUAUCUGUUUGGUUCAAUUAUAUAGAUAUUUCUCAGUCUGAAAAAAAAACAGAAAACAGUUUAACUUAAUCGAUUUUUUCCAGAUUUACCUAAUUCGCAGGCUUAGAUGUAAUCUUUAGGAGUUUUUGACGGAAAAAAAGUUUGUUUGGAUUAAAAAAAUGCUUGGAUUACAGAUGUGAUCUGUCUCAGUUUUUUUGGUCGGAGAAAAGGUUGGAUGGUGGCUCAGAAAAUAAUUUUCAAUAACUCAUUUAAUAAAAACGAAAGCCCACUCA
RNAcentral lists this long non-coding RNA (335 nucleotides) under Brassica napus (rape). RNAcentral's name for it is "long non-coding RNA (BNAP_LNC000365)". The record is from RNAcentral. Lineage: Eukaryota; Viridiplantae; Streptophyta; Magnoliopsida; Brassicales; Brassicaceae.